RNAcentral lists this ribosomal RNA (216 nucleotides) under Glomeromycotina sp. Its description in RNAcentral is "partial small subunit ribosomal RNA". The stretch from base 40 to 216 matches the Rfam family "Eukaryotic small subunit ribosomal RNA", at positions 686 to 864 of the family's 1831-position model. Lineage: Eukaryota; Fungi; Glomeromycota. The record is from RNAcentral.
GGGUCAGUAGGUUGGUCGUGCCACCGGUACGUACUGGUCUCACUGAUUCCUCCUUCCUGAAGAACCGUAAUGCCAUUAAUUUGGUGUUGCGGGGAAACAGGACUGUUACUUUGAAAAAAUUAGAGUGUUUAAAGCAAGCUAACGCUUGAAUACAUUAGCAUGGAAUAAUGAAAUAGGACGAUCGAUCCUAUUUUGUUGGUUACUAGGAUUGACGCA